Phacochoerus africanus (Common warthog) is the source of this 868-nucleotide long non-coding RNA. RefSeq lists it as uncharacterized. The transcript has 3 exons. NCBI's taxonomy places the organism in Eukaryota, Metazoa, Chordata, Mammalia, Artiodactyla, Suidae. The record is from RefSeq and is a predicted model, not a curated record.
GCAGCAGCUAAUACAUUUGCCUGUAAAUGUUUUCGGUAAAUGUCACCCAAGAAGCUGUGUGCAGCCCUUAAAGAGAUCCUUCAAGGAGCUUCCAUAGGGGUCAAGUGCAGAACCACAGUUCUCUGAGAAUAAGCUCUUUUUCUACAGAUUUGAUACUGCGAUGACUCAACAUGACUACCGGGGUGCUUGACGUCAGAGUUAGGGAGCAAGGAAGGCCAAGAUGGACCGUGUACUGGGGCAAACGCGACGAGGCUCCGACGUGAUGUGUGCGCGCAGUUGCUCAUCCCCAGCUUUACCAGAACAUUCUGAAUUACGUUAACACACUGUCCCAGAGGUGGCGACAAGCAGAGGAUGACCUCAGCGGCUUGGCAGACCCAGAGGCAUCAGGGAGCAGAGACAGGAAGCGGAGUCUCGUGGGGCCAAGUGCCCCGCCUCGUGCGCCAUCCAAAAGCUGAGUCACUCCACCCAGAGGGUCAGCACGGGUGGGAAAGAGGGAGGCCAGGUGACUCUCGGGACCAGGGAAGCCCAUGAAGGAGAAGCACUGAAAAGGGCAGGCCGGGGACCAGGACCUGAGGCCCGGUUUCACACUGACCCAUUGAUGUGCCUGGUGCAUCUGUAGCCUCUGCGUCCUGGUGGUGACUCACAACGGAGCAGGGCGCCUGGGCAGACGCGUGGGCGCUCUGGGAAGACAUGCCUCGGGUGGAGCGUCGCCGGGCAGCGGAAGAGGCGGGCGUGUAGGCACGUCAGUGUGGCGACCGAAGAGAUCUGUGCUCCGGGGACGGGAAGGUGAGGGAACUCAGCAGAGACGAACACACCGGGAGCUCCCGUCGUGGAGCAGCAGAAACGAAUCCAACUAGGAACCACAAGG